UACGGGGGGGGCAAGCGUUGUUCGGAAUUACUGGGCGUAAAGGGUUCGUAGGUGGCCAACUAAGUCAGACGUGAAAUCCCUCAGCUUAACUGGGGAACUGCGUCUGAGACUGGAUGGCUCGAGUGCAGGAGAGGAACGCGGAAUUCCAGGUGUAGCGGUGAAAUGCGUAGAUAUCUGGAGGAACACCGGUGGCGAAGGCGGCGUUCUGGACUGCAACUGACACUGAGGAACGAAAGCCAGGGGGGCAAACGGG
This 253-nucleotide ribosomal RNA is filed under the name uncultured bacterium. Its description in RNAcentral is "partial 16S ribosomal RNA". It matches the Rfam family "Bacterial small subunit ribosomal RNA", at positions 524 to 776 of the family's 1533-position model. The record is from RNAcentral.